Molecule: ribosomal RNA, 120 nt
Filed under: Koliella longiseta
Lineage: Eukaryota; Viridiplantae; Chlorophyta; Trebouxiophyceae; Prasiolales; Koliellaceae
Source: RNAcentral
UUUCUGGUGUCUUUAUUUUUAUGGACCCACACCAAUCCAUCUCGAACUUGGUUGUGAAACGUAGAAAGAGUGACAAUACUUAAGCCGUGGGGCUUUGGGAAGAUAACUUGAUGCCAGGAU